RNAcentral lists this ribosomal RNA (498 nucleotides) under uncultured bacterium. Its description in RNAcentral is "partial 16S ribosomal RNA". It matches the Rfam family "Bacterial small subunit ribosomal RNA", at positions 29 to 523 of the family's 1533-position model. The record is from RNAcentral.
AUUGAACGCUGGCGGCAUGCCUUACACAUGCAAGUCGAACGGUAACGCGGGGCAACCUGGCGACGAGUGGCGAACGGGUGAGUAAAGUAUCGGAACGUGCCCAGUAGUGGGGGAUAGCCCGGCGAAAGCCGGAUUAAUACCGCAUGAGACCUACGGGUGAAAGCGGGGGAUCGCAAGACCUCGCGCUAUUGGAGCGGCCGAUAUCAGAUUAGGUAGUUGGUGGGGUAAAGGCCUACCAAGCCGACGAUCUGUAGCUGGUCUGAGAGGACGACCAGCCACACUGGGACUGAGACACGGCCCAGACUCCUACGGGAGGCAGCAGUGGGGAAUUUUGGACAAUGGGCGCAAGCCUGAUCCAGCCAUGCCGCGUGCGGGAAGAAGGCCUUCGGGUUGUAAACCGCUUUUGUCAGGGAAGAAAUCUUCUGGGUUAAUACCUCGGGAGGAUGACGGUACCUGAAGAAUAAGCACCGGCUAACUACGUGCCAGCCGCCGCCGUAA